AGGAGUGGAGCCUGCGGCUUAAUUUGA
RNAcentral lists this non-coding RNA (27 nucleotides) under Bombyx mori (domestic silkworm). Lineage: Eukaryota; Metazoa; Arthropoda; Insecta; Lepidoptera; Bombycidae. RNAcentral also lists the same sequence under 7 other names. The record is from RNAcentral.